UUUGUCUGUAUGGCAAAUGUGAAAUGCAGUGUAUGGAAUGUCAAAUUUCUAGUAUGAGAAAUUAAUGAUUUAAGUCCUUCUUAAAUGAGGCCAUUUACCCAUAGAGGGUGCCAGGCCCGUAUAACAUUAAUAAUUACUAGAUGGCAUUUCCAAAGAGUCGUGUUGCUUGAUAGUGCAGCACUAAGUGGGUGGUAAACUCCAUCUAAAACUAAAUAUAACCAUGAGACCGAUAGUAAACAAGUACCGUGAGGGAAAGUUGAAAAGAACUCUGAAUAGAGAGUUAAAUAGUACGUGAAACUGCUUAGAGGUUAAACCCGAUGAACCUGAAUAUCCAUUAUAGAAAAUUCAUCAUUAUGAUUUUAAUAUAUUAUAAUAAUGGUGUGCAUUUUUUCUAUAAAAGGACAUUGUAAUCUAUUAACAUAAAAUAUUUAUCAUAAGAUCAACAAAAGUUUAUUUCAAUUAUAUUGUUUUACAAUUUAACAUAGAAUAAAUGCUUUUUGAUUUGAUAAAGUGUUGAUAGAUUUAAUAUAGUGCUUAAAUAAUAUUUUAUAAUAGCAUAUUGAUUAAUAAUUUUUAUGUUUAUUAUAUGCACUUAUAUGAUUAACAAUGCGAAAGAUUCAGGAUACCUUCGGGACCCGUCUUGAAACACGGACCAAGGAGUCUAACAUAUUUGCAAGUUAUUGGGAAACCUAAUAGCGAAAUUAACAUAACAUAAUGGGAUUAGUUUUUAGCCGGUCUAUUAAUUCAAUCCCGGGGCGUUCUAUACAGUUAUGUAUAAUAAUAUUUAUAUUAUUUAUACCUCUAACUAGAGCGUACCUUGAGCAUAUAUGCUGUGACCCGAAAGAUGGUGAACUAUACUUGAUCAGGUUGAAGUCAGGGGAAACCCUGAUGGAAGACCGAAACAGUUCUGACGUGCAAAUCGAUUGUCAGAAUUGAGUAUAGGGGCGAAAGACCAAUCGAACCAUCUAGUAGCUGGUUCCCUCCGAAGUUUCCCUCAGGAUAGCUGGUGCAUUUAAAAAUAAUGUAAAAUAAUCUUAUCUGGUAAAGCGAAUGAUUAGAGGCCUUAGGGUCGAAACGACCUUAACCUAUUCUCAAACUUUAAAUGGGUAAGAACCUCACCUUUCUUGGUAUGAAGGUUGUGGUUGUGAUAUAAUGUGCCCAGUGGGCCACUUUUGGUAAGCAGAACUGGCGCUGUGGGAUGAACCAAACGUAAUGUUACGGUGCCAAAAUUAACAACUCAUGCAGAUACCAUGAAAGGCGUU
RNAcentral lists this ribosomal RNA (1262 nucleotides) under Eulasiona cf. comstocki JOS813.7. RNAcentral's name for it is "partial 28S ribosomal RNA". It matches the Rfam family "Eukaryotic large subunit ribosomal RNA", at positions 120 to 1225 of the family's 3401-position model. Lineage: Eukaryota; Metazoa; Arthropoda; Insecta; Diptera; Tachinidae. The record is from RNAcentral.